CAAAGGCCCCACCUGAUACCCCGACUGGGUGUCCAGUCUCCCACCUCUGGAUGCAGACCCACCCUCCAUCAGCUGGCCACAGGGAGCUCACCAAUUCCUGAUCUGUGAUGCUCUCCCAAAUGAAAGUCUUCUGCUCCGGAAGCAGCAGAAGCAGCAGGAGUAGGGUGGGAGGUCAGCGUCCCCUGCUCUGUCCGAAAUCCCACAUCCCAUUCUGCCCCCAGGCCUUUCCACGGGUAAGGAGAAGGCACUUAGCCUCCGGAUGAUGAAAUACUGGGCCAACUUUGCCCGCACAGGAAACCCCAAUGAUGGGAAUCUGCCUUGCUGGCCACGCUAUGACAAGGAUGAAAAGUACCUGCAGCUGGAUUUUACCACGAGAGUGGGCAUGAAGCUCAAGGAGAAGAAGAUGGCUUUUUGGAUGAGUCUGUACCAGUCUCAAAGACCUGAGAAGCAGAGGCAAUUCUAAGGGUGCCUACGCAGGAAGGAGCCAAAGAGGGGUUUGCCCCACCACCCAGGCCCUAGGGAGACUAGCCAUGGACAUACCUGGGGACAAGGGUUCUACCCACCCCAAUUUAGAACUGCAGGAGCUCCCUGCUGCCUCCCAGCCAAAGCUAGAGCUUUUGCCUGUUGUAUGGCACCUGCACCGCCCUCUCCAGCCUGACAUCCCAUGAUGCCCCACUACUUCACUGUUGACAUCCAGUUAGGCCAGGCCCUGUCAACACCACACUGUGCCCAGCUCUC
This 738-nucleotide small RNA is filed under the name Pongo abelii (Sumatran orangutan). RNAcentral describes it as "retained intron". Lineage: Eukaryota; Metazoa; Chordata; Mammalia; Primates; Hominidae. The record is from RNAcentral.